This 497-nucleotide ribosomal RNA is filed under the name uncultured bacterium. Its description in RNAcentral is "partial 16S ribosomal RNA". It matches the Rfam family "Bacterial small subunit ribosomal RNA", at positions 28 to 507 of the family's 1533-position model. The record is from RNAcentral.
GAUGAACGCUGGCGGCGUGCCUAAUACAUGCAAGUCGAGCGAACAGACGAGGAGCUUGCUCCUCUUACGUUAUCGGCGGACGGGUGAGUAACACGUGGAUAACCUACCUAUAAGACUGGGAUAACUUCGGGAAACCGGAGCUAAUACCGGAUAAUAUAUUGAACCGCAUGGUUCAAUAGUGAAAGACGGUUUUGCUGUCACUUAUAGAUGGAUCCGCGCCGCAUUAGCUAGUUGGUAAGGUAACGGCUUACCAAGGCGACGAUGCGUAGCCGACCUGAGAGGGUGAUCGGCAACACUGGAACUGAGAAACGGUCCAGACUCCUACGGGAGGCAGCAGUAGGGAAUCUUCCGAAAUGGGCGAAAGCCUGACGGAGCAACGCCGCGUGAGUGAUGAAGGUCUUCGGAUCGUAAAACUCUGUUAUUAGGGAAGAACAAAUGUGGAAGUAAAUAUGCACGUCUUGACGGUACCUAAUCAGAAAGCCACGGCUAACUACGUG